UCAGGACGAACGCUGGCGGCGUGCUUAACACAUGCAAGUCGAACGAAUGAUGCCCAGCUUGCUGGGCGGAUUAGUGGCGAACCGGGUGAGUAAUACGUGAGUAACCUGCCCUUGACUCUGGGAUAAGCCUGGGAAACUGGGUCUAAUACUGGAUACUACCUCUUACCGCAUGGUGGGUGGUGGAAAAGGGUUUUACUGGUUUUGGAUGGGCUCACGGCCUAUCAGCUUGUUGGUGGGGUAAUGGCUCACCAAGGCGACGACGGGUAGCCGGCCUGAGAGGGUGACCGGCCACACUGGGACUGAGACACGGCCCAGACUCCUACGGGAGGCAGCAGUGGGGAAUAUUGCACAAUGGGCGGAAGCCUGAUGCAGCGACGCCGCGUGAGGGAUGACGGCCUUCGGGUUGUAAACCUCUUUCAGUAGGGAAGAAGCGAGAGUGACGGUACCUGCAGAAGAAGCGCCGGCUAACUACGUGCCAGCAGCCGCGGUAAUACGUAGGGCGCAAGCGUUGUCCGGAAUUAUUGGGCGUAAAGAGCUCGUAGGCGGUUUGUCGCGUCUGCUGUGAAAGCCCGGGGCUCAACCCCGGGUCUGCAGUGGGUACGGGCAGACUAGAGUGCAGUAGGGGAGACUGGAAUUCCUGGUGUAGCGGUGAAAUGCGCAGAUAUCAGGAGGAACACCGAUGGCGAAGGCAGGUCUCUGG
RNAcentral lists this ribosomal RNA (700 nucleotides) under Kocuria sp. BAB-5534. RNAcentral's name for it is "bacterial SSU rRNA". It matches the Rfam family "Bacterial small subunit ribosomal RNA", at positions 24 to 732 of the family's 1533-position model. Lineage: Bacteria; Bacillati; Actinomycetota; Actinomycetes; Micrococcales; Micrococcaceae. The record is from RNAcentral.